Molecule: ribosomal RNA, 406 nt
Filed under: uncultured bacterium
Lineage: Bacteria
Description: partial 16S ribosomal RNA
Rfam family: Bacterial small subunit ribosomal RNA
Source: RNAcentral
AUUGAACGCUGGCGGCUGGCCUAACACAUGCAAGUCGAACGAGUGGCGGACGGGUGAGUAAUGUCUGGGAAACUGGCUGAGUGAGGGGGAUAACUACGGGAAACGGUAGCUCAUACCGCUUACCAUCGGAUGACCCCUCUUGGGAUUAGGUAGUUGGUGAGGUAAAGGCUAACCAAGCCGACGAUCUCUAGCUGGUCUGAGAGGCUGACGAGCCACUCGAGAGCUGGGCCACGGCCCAGCCUCCUACGGUAGGCAGCAGUGGGGAAUAGUGCGCCAUGGGGGCAAGCCUGCCGCAGCCAUGCGGGGUGGAUGAAUAAGGCCUUCGGGGUGUAAAGUUCGUUCGGUUGCGAGGCGUUAGCUACAGAAGAAGCACCGGCUGACUCCGUGCCAGCCGCCGCGGUAAUUC